This 253-nucleotide ribosomal RNA is filed under the name Ectopseudomonas mendocina. RNAcentral describes it as "Pseudomonas mendocina partial 16S ribosomal RNA". It matches the Rfam family "Bacterial small subunit ribosomal RNA", at positions 524 to 776 of the family's 1533-position model. The record is from RNAcentral. RNAcentral also lists the same sequence under 2 other names. Lineage: Bacteria; Pseudomonadati; Pseudomonadota; Gammaproteobacteria; Pseudomonadales; Pseudomonadaceae.
UACGAAGGGUGCAAGCGUUAAUCGGAAUUACUGGGCGUAAAGCGCGCGUAGGUGGUUCGUUAAGUUGGAUGUGAAAGCCCCGGGCUCAACCUGGGAACUGCAUCCAAAACUGGCGAGCUAGAGUACGGUAGAGGGUGGUGGAAUUUCCUGUGUAGCGGUGAAAUGCGUAGAUAUAGGAAGGAACACCAGUGGCGAAGGCGACCACCUGGACUGAUACUGACACUGAGGUGCGAAAGCGUGGGGAGCAAACAGG